UAGCUCUGUAACCAGGUAGCGGUAGGUCGUGUCACGGUAGGNUUACCUGCCGGUAANACUGGGAUAACUCCGGGAAACCGGGGCUAAUACCGGAUGGUUGUUUGAACCGCAUGGUUCAAACAUAAAAGGUGGCUUCGGCUACCACUUACAGAUGGACCCGCGGCGCAUUAGCUAGUUGGUGAGGUAACGGCUCACCAAGGCGACGAUGCGUAGCCGACCUGAGAGGGUGAUCGGCCACACUGGGACUGAGACACGGCCCAGACUCCUACGGGAGGCAGCAGUAGGGAAUCUUCCGCAAUGGACGAAAGUCUGACGGAGCAACGCCGCGUGAGUGAUGAAGGUUUUCGGAUCGUAAAGCUCUGUUGUUAGGGAAGAACAAGUACCGUUCGAAUAGGGCGGUACCUUGACGGUACCUAACCAGAAAGCCACGGCUAACUACGUGCCAGCAGCCGCGGUAAUACGUAGGUGGCAAGCGUUGUCCGGAAUUAUUGGGCGUAAAGGGCUCGCAGGCGGUUUCUUAAGUCUGAUGUGAAAGCCCCCGGCUCAACCGGGGAGGGUCAUUGGAAACUGGGGAACUUGAGUGCAGAAGAGGAGAGUGGAAUUCCACGUGUAGCGGUGAAAUGCGUAGAGAUGUGGAGGAACACCAGUGGCGAAGGCGACUCUCUGGUCUGUAAC
RNAcentral lists this ribosomal RNA (675 nucleotides) under Bacillus subtilis. Its description in RNAcentral is "bacterial SSU rRNA". It matches the Rfam family "Bacterial small subunit ribosomal RNA", at positions 80 to 740 of the family's 1533-position model. The record is from RNAcentral. Lineage: Bacteria; Bacillati; Bacillota; Bacilli; Caryophanales; Bacillaceae.